This 676-nucleotide ribosomal RNA is filed under the name uncultured Bacteroidota bacterium. RNAcentral's name for it is "bacterial SSU rRNA". It matches the Rfam family "Bacterial small subunit ribosomal RNA", at positions 35 to 703 of the family's 1533-position model. The record is from RNAcentral. Lineage: Bacteria; Pseudomonadati; Bacteroidota.
GCUAGCGGGAGGCUUAAUACAUGCAAGUCGAGGGGUAACAUGACAGACCUAGUUUGUUGAUGACGACCGGCGCACGGGUGAGUAACGCGUACGCGACCUGCCCUUAACUGCGGGAUAGCCCUGGGAAACUGGGAUUAAUACCGCAUGUGUAUAUUGGGAUACAUGUUCUGAUAUAUAAAGCUGAGGCGGUUAAGGAUGGGCGUGCGUCUGAUUAGUUAGUUGGUGAGGUAACGGCUCACCAAGGCGACGAUCAGUAGGGGGCGUGAGAGCGUGGCCCCCCACACGGGUACUGAGACACGGACCCGACUCCUACGGGAGGCAGCAGUAAGGAAUAUUGGGCAAUGGGCGAGAGCCUGACCCAGCCAUCCCGCGUGCAGGAAGACUGCCCUAUGGGUUGUAAACUGCUUUUAUCAGAGAAGAAACGCCUGGAUUUAUUUGGGUCUGACGGUAUCUGAUGAAUAAGCACCGGCUAACUCCGUGCCAGCAGCCGCGGUAAUACGGAGGGUGCAAGCGUUAUCCGGAAUCACUGGGUUUAAAGGGUGCGUAGGCGGUAAGAUAAGUCAGAGGUGAAAGGCUGCAGCUUAACUGUGGGAAUGCCUUUGAUACUGUUUUACUUGAAUGAGGUUGAGGCUGGCGGAAUGCGGCAUGUAGCGGUGAAAUGCAUAGAUAUGCCGUA